Molecule: ribosomal RNA, 379 nt
Filed under: uncultured soil bacterium
Lineage: Bacteria
Description: bacterial SSU rRNA
Rfam family: Bacterial small subunit ribosomal RNA
Source: RNAcentral
ACCGGCGCACGGGUGAGUAACACGUGGACAACCUGUCUUGCAGUCUGGGAUAACCCGUCGAAAGACGAGCUAAUACCGGAUAAGACCACGUUCGCAAAAGAUGCACUUUGAGAGGGGUCCGCGUCCUAUCAGCUAGUUGGCGAGGUAACGGCUCACCAAGGUUAAGACGGGUAGCUGGUCUGAGAGGAUUGUCAGCCACACUGGGACUGAGACACGGUCCAGAGUCCUACGGGAUGCAGCAGUCAGGAAUAUUGCGCAAUGGAGGAAACUCUGACGCAGCGACGCCGCGUGGGUGAUGAAGGCCUUCGGGUCGUAAAGCCCUGUCGGAGGGGAAGAAAGACGGUACCCUCAAAGGAAGCACCGGCUAACUCCGUGCCAG